Molecule: ribosomal RNA, 222 nt
Filed under: uncultured bacterium
Lineage: Bacteria
Description: partial 16S ribosomal RNA
Rfam family: Bacterial small subunit ribosomal RNA
Source: RNAcentral
GCAAGUCGAGCGCUUUCCUUCGGGAAGGAGCGGCGGACGGGUUAGUAACGCGUGGGAAUAUACCCUUCACUAUGGAAUAGCCUUUGGAAACGAAGAGUAAUACCAUAUACGCCCUUCGGGGGAAAGAUUUAUCGGUGAAGGAUUAGCCCGCGUAAGAUUAGAUAGUUGGUGGGGUAAUGGCCUACCAAGCCUACGAUCUAUAGCUGGUUUGAGAGGAUGAUC